RNAcentral lists this long non-coding RNA (435 nucleotides) under Homo sapiens (human). Its description in RNAcentral is "non-protein coding lnc-RPL37-1:5". The record is from RNAcentral. Lineage: Eukaryota; Metazoa; Chordata; Mammalia; Primates; Hominidae.
AACAACACCUAAACCCAAGAGGGCAGCUGUUGCAGCAUCCAGUUCAUCUUAAGAAUGUCAACGAUUAGUCAUGCAAUAAAUGUUCUGGUUUUAAAAAAUACAUAUCUGGUUUUGGUCUCAGCUUCAGAACAUUCACUUAUAAAGAAACCCUGCUGAUUAAAUCUCUCUUGGGCUUCCUCCCGAAAUGAGUUUGGAUCAUAAUACAAGAGAAGCACAGGGCAAAGACACUGCAUAACCUCAAGAACUAAGAAUGGAAGGACUGGCCAGGCCUGGUGGUGCACACCUGUAAUCCCAGCUACUCAGGAGGCUGAGGCGAGAGAAUCGCUUGAGCCUGGGGGGCAGAGGUUGCAGUGAGCUGAGAGAACGGCGGGCGGCAGAGCGAGACUCCAUCUCAAAAAAAAAAAAGGAUAAAGGAAGGACUUAAGCAAAAUCUUC